UUAGAAAUACAUCAGCUUUCUCGGAGUGUUUAUCUUCUGUUUUGCCACAAGUUAGCACACAAAACAUAGCAGUGAUCUUCGUUUCGUAUGUAGGUCUGUGUGUAGAGAUAUCAAAAGAGGAAAUUCCUGUUUUUCUUAAUGGGUUGCGGUUGUAGAUAACGCGUUAUCUAUUUUAUUCGUGAAACUACAGCACUCGAAAUCAUGGAAAGACGUGAUUGUUUGAUCAAUCUGCCUCCCCUCCUCCUGUAUAUAGUGAUAUUCACAAUGUUGAGCCAGGAAUGAAACCUCCACCAUACACAGAUGUUGAGGAACAUCCUCCUUGCUAUUCUAGCCCAGAACUGACAAGCCCCAUAGUGUCAACUGAACCUAUUCAACCACAAGCUAUUACAGUACUGCCAUCAAACAAGCAGCCAGAGAAGAACCAGUCAUCUUCAUGCAUGAGGGACUUCUGUCAAUGCUGCGAGGCGACUUGUGAAAUAUUCGCUGCUAUAUGUCUUUGCUGCUGCUUUUCAUGUGAAUGUCUAGAAGGCGUCUCCUAAAGACUUCUUGAACCAGCCUUUAGAUUAACCUUAAUGACUAAGUAUAGUCGGCUACUGGUUGGUGUUUUACACCAAUUCAGCACAUGGAGCUAUAUCACUGUGAGGUUUUCUGGACCUAUAAACAGAUAACAUGCUGAAAAUUUAGAUCUGCUGGAGGUGUCCAAUUAUGACUGAUAAUCAUGACUAUAAUGAAUAAUCAGCUUCAGCUAGACAGUAAUAUAUGACUGUUUGUCAAACAGUAAUAAAUGCUAGUUAUUUUGUGUAUAGUGAUGGUCAUGACUAAAUGAGUCAUUUCCAAAUGAUGGUAAGACUUCAUACCUGCAAGGCUACCUGACUCUUCAAAACCUUUGUUAUGUCUUACCAGUGGUAGAAAACCUUUCUACCCAGAUAAAGUUAGUAAGUGGAAGGAGGUUUUUGCAGUGCUUAGAUUUUAAAACAGAAGUAAGAAAUUUGGUCUUUGUGCUGUUGUCUUUUAUCAGCCUUCAAACAACCACACACAUCAAACAGCACGCAUAUGUGUACACACACACUCUCUCGCUCUCUCCACAGUCCCUUUUGCUCAGACACUUGUUCAUCCUUUUUUCUUUUCCCACUUGACCACUUUCAACAGUGUAUUCCCGGUGAUAAUGAAACACAAACACACACAUGUAUAUAGGCAGUGUAUCCACUGUGAUAAUGAACUAUCAGAUUUUGGUUAUUGUACUUGUACUUAUUUAAAAGAUGCCCUGGUUGUUUUUAUACUGCAGUAAUAUAUUAAUAGUUUUCAUGAAAAUAAAAUGGCAGCAUUUAAAUGUCACUGAUGCAGCUUGUAUAUACUUUUAUAUUUCAUGAGCACCUAAAGAAUUCUUCUAUAAAAUGUUUUUACACUUAAAUGAUUUAAUAUUGUUAUAAGCAUCCCUCUACUGAAAUAUUACUUUCAAAUAUCUUUUAAUGUGUUACUAUUUGUAGACAUUUAUUAAUAUUUUAUUAGUAAGUUUUAAAUGCGCAAUUUAAUAUUUUGAUUUUAUCAUCAAAAUAUUUAUAUUUCAUGACAACAAUCGCUGAUAAGCAUUCGAUCACGGUAAUCAACAAUAAGCAGUCAUAUUUUGUAUCACUAGUUGCUUUAAAUGCUUUCUUCAUAAUAAAAUGUUGCAAAACA
Molecule: long non-coding RNA, 1677 nt
Filed under: Pomacea canaliculata
Lineage: Eukaryota; Metazoa; Mollusca; Gastropoda; Architaenioglossa; Ampullariidae
Description: uncharacterized LOC112577240
Source: RNAcentral